AGUGAACGCUGGCGGUAGGCCUAACACAUGCAAGUCGAACGGCAGCACAGUAAGAGUUUGCUCUUACGGGUGGCGAGUGGCGGACGGGUGAGGAAUACAUCGGAAUCUACUUUUUCGUGGGGGAUAACGUAGGGAAACUUACGCUAAUACCGCAUAUGAUCUACGGGUGAAAGCAGUGGAUCUUCGGACCUUGCGCGAUUGAAUGAGCCGAUGUCGGAUUAGCUAGUUGGCGGGGUAAAGGCCCACCAAGGCGACGAUCCGUAGCUGGUCUGAGAGGAUGAUCGGCCACACUGGAACUGAGACACGGUCCAGACUCCUACGGGAGGCAGCAGUGGGGAAUAUUGGGCAAUGGGCGCAAGCCUGAUCCAGCCAUACCGCGUGGGUGAAGAAGGCCUUCGGGUUGUAAAGCCCUUUUGUUGGGAAAGAAAAGCAGCAGGUUAAUACCCCGCUGUUCUGACGGUACCCAAAGAAUAAGCACCGGCUAACUUCGUG
Molecule: ribosomal RNA, 492 nt
Filed under: uncultured bacterium
Lineage: Bacteria
Description: partial 16S ribosomal RNA
Rfam family: Bacterial small subunit ribosomal RNA
Source: RNAcentral